Molecule: long non-coding RNA, 307 nt
Filed under: Brassica rapa (field mustard)
Lineage: Eukaryota; Viridiplantae; Streptophyta; Magnoliopsida; Brassicales; Brassicaceae
Description: long non-coding RNA (BRAP_LNC002668)
Source: RNAcentral
ACAACAUAAGGCUUAACUUUGAAUGUUUCAGUAAUGGUAAAGCUAAGCUCGUAGUUCACAGCCUUCUUCCCAAAGAUGUUGAACUUUCCUGCGCUCUUGUAAGCCACAUCGGCAUCAGCACCCUUCCUGAAAACUACUCUAGCCCGGUUCUUCUCCUCAUCAACCUCGGUUUGUGAAUCCCUUAUUGGUCCAAAAUGCCUGAACAUUUUACUCAGGUUCUUCUCAGAAGGUAUUGUAUCCGUUUCGGAAAAGUACAUUAUAAGCUCAGCUGGUGCAUUCUCAUCAAAGUCCGCUGGUUUGUCUGAAG